RNAcentral lists this unclassified non-coding RNA (295 nucleotides) under fungal sp. Its description in RNAcentral is "partial internal transcribed spacer region". The stretch from base 1 to 46 matches the Rfam family "Eukaryotic small subunit ribosomal RNA", at positions 1786 to 1831 of the family's 1831-position model. The record is from RNAcentral. Lineage: Eukaryota; Fungi.
AAGUCGUAACAAGGUUUCCGUAGGUGAACCUGCGGAAGGAUCAUUGCUGAUGCCGGCGGCGUGCCUUUUAGGAAGCCCUCACACGGGCCGAAUGGAUGGCCGCCGCUUCAAACAUCAUCCGCCCCUUUGUGAACCCGGCACCGAGGCGAGCGUGAGCUUCAAGGGGCCCACGCGUACACCAAAUCGUCUCCCUGCCCAAACCAAACCUGUCUUUUAUUGCCUGUCUCCCCAGACUGAAGCAAAAAAAAAACAAAAACAUAUCUUACAACUUUUAACAAUGGAUAUCUUGGCUCGC